This 520-nucleotide unclassified non-coding RNA is filed under the name Hevea brasiliensis (rubber tree). The record is from RNAcentral. Lineage: Eukaryota; Viridiplantae; Streptophyta; Magnoliopsida; Malpighiales; Euphorbiaceae.
ACCUGCAAAUCACAUAAAUCUCAUUCAGAAGAGAGACCUUACAUGUGCAUGUAACAUAAAGAUACCACUGGUACCAUGCAGUACACUAAACAUGAAAAUUAGACCUAUCCAUAAAUAACACAGAUAUAAUUAGAUCUUCAAUAAUGAAACCAUAACAGAGAUAGACACCCAGAUCGUGCAUGAAUUUAUUUCAAAAUUUCAAAUAGCAGAGCAAAGAAGAAUUCGCUAAUAGGGCAAGUUCACAUCACUUGUCAACGUUAAAGAGGUAGUAGAGUUGGGAAUCAAAACACCUUCAAAGAUUUCACACGUCAGUGGUUCCCACAAAGAAUAGGAGAAGACCAUUGGCUUUUCCUCCAAACAUUACCUGCUAUACAUAUGCUGCUUCUCUUCCUUCAUCCACUAGUGAAUAAACAAUCGCCUGAAAAUCUUUGUUAUAACCCAACAUAGGAUAUCCUCUCAAAAUUAUUGUUAUAAUACUAUCCACUGCAUGUAUUUGCUAUUAUUGGCAUCAUUAUCAGGG